GGGUGGUGGUUCGUGGUUAUCGGCAUGAGGCUUGUAUGGUGGGUGGGGUGGUGAUUCGUGGUCAUUAGCGUCAGGAAGUCCUUCCGGUGAAGCCCGAGAUUGGCUAUUGGGUUGAGAGCUCGCGGUGUCGCUCGGCUUCCAUUGAGUUGCGUGUUCUAGAGUGCGAGGUAAGUUCUCUGUUUUAGAACGCUACUUGAAUAAAUUAAUUGCCUUGUUCUUCCCUGCUUGUGUGCAAUGUGUCCAUCAAAUUGGGUGUUGCCCUGUUCUUACCAAUAUGCGUGAAGUUGUUUGCACUGUGGAUAUUUCUGCUUUGGCACCUUAUAUGUAUCCUGUGAUAAUGUGAGUUGUUUGGCUUAUAUCGGG
RNAcentral lists this long non-coding RNA (363 nucleotides) under Vigna radiata. RNAcentral describes it as "long non-coding RNA (VRAD_LNC001289)". Lineage: Eukaryota; Viridiplantae; Streptophyta; Magnoliopsida; Fabales; Fabaceae. The record is from RNAcentral.